UGGGGAAUAUUUGGCAAUGGGCGCAAGCCUGACCCAGCAACGCAGCGUGCAGGAAGUAGGCUCUCGGGUUGUAAACUUCUCUUGUCAGGGACGAAGCAAGUGACGGUACCUGACGAAUAAGCCACGGCUAACUACGUGCCAGCAGCCGCGGUAAUACGUAGGUGGCAAGCGUUAUCCGGAUUUACUGGGUGUAAAGGGCGUGUAGGCGGGACUGCAAGUCAGAUGUGAAAACCAUGGGCUCAACCCAUGGCCUGCAUUUGAAACUGUAGUUCUUGAGUGUUGGAGAGGCAGGCGGAAUUCCGUGUGUAGCGGUGAAAUGCGUAGAUAUACGGAGGAACACCAGUGGCGAAGGCGGCCUGCUGGACAAUAACUGACGCUGAGGCGCGAAAGCGUGGGGAGCAAACAGG
This 407-nucleotide ribosomal RNA is filed under the name uncultured bacterium. RNAcentral's name for it is "bacterial SSU rRNA". It matches the Rfam family "Bacterial small subunit ribosomal RNA", at positions 355 to 776 of the family's 1533-position model. The record is from RNAcentral.